This is a long non-coding RNA of Colossoma macropomum (tambaqui), 1582 nucleotides long. RefSeq lists it as uncharacterized. The record is from RefSeq and is a predicted model, not a curated record. NCBI's taxonomy places the organism in Eukaryota, Metazoa, Chordata, Actinopteri, Characiformes, Serrasalmidae. The transcript has 5 exons.
AGGUGUGGCAGAUUGGAACUAGACUCCACAGGAAGGUAGAUCUCCAGGAGCAGGUCUGGUGACCACUGCUCUACACCAUUUCAAACCUCUCCGAAUGAUUUUGUUUGCAUCUUCUCAACCCUUAAAUUAUGCAAUAUUAGGAAAAAAUGUGGGAUUUAAGCAUUUAUGUCUGAAUGCCUAUCACUAAUUUAAUGACCUCUGAACUAUCCGAUUGGAGGACUUUAUAUGAGUGUGGUCUACAAGCCAAUGGGCGCGCAGAAACGAAUUUGAAAGUUGCUCCGCCCAUAUGCCUCCGGACGUUAUACGAGGUUGUGCACGGGCUGCGUUGGGCAGUCUACCGAGUGCGUGUGCGAUAAGAAGUUAAAACAGGCGAGAAGAAUGUGUCCUGUGUCACAGAUGACACAAUCGAGUCAUCCUAAUUAAACAGGCUCAGGAGCAACUUUUCAUCUGACGUUAAAGAUUCAGAAAUACCCCCAUUUCCUGGAGAUCUACUCUACCCCAUCAUCAGAAGUCCUUCUGCUCUUAUGCAAGUCUACACAGGCAUUAAUCUAAAGUAUGAGCCUGGCUUGUACCAGACACCUCGAAACCAGGCCUGACUGAGCCCGACUAGUACUUGCACAUUUGAAACUCAAACCGGAAAUCGUUUGACUUUUUCUUCCACAGGCUGAACAACGGACCACCCUGUCUGGCUUGAUGCUGAUUGACUUGAUCAGGUGUUCCUUCCUGCUCACCUGCCCUCCAGACUAGUUUGACCACCUUGGAGCCUCCUGCAAGUCCAUUUACUCUCCUGGUGUGCAGAAAGCCUUACCUGCAUGCCCCAUUCACCCACUUGAAUGCUUACCUGGUCAUGGCAUGCCUUUACAGCAGUCUUGAUUUUAAUUCAGAUGAUCAUUCUUUUUAAAUGGCCUCUGAUAGGUUUCUAGAUUGUAAUACUUGUACGUCAUUGGUCUCAUUUUUGUUAAUCUAAUUACUUUAGCCUAAUUAGGCUUCCUUCUUUAUUCAUUAGCAUAUUUCUAAGAUGCCUCUUCACUUAUCACUCUUAUUGCUUGUUUUUCUAUUUUGGGUUGACCAGUGGAGGAUGGGUUCCUCUUAAGGUUUCUCCCUCUUGCUCUGUGGGAGUUGUCACUGUCUUUCUUUGCUUGGUCAUUUAGGGCUUGGACCUGGGUUUUUGUAAAGCUACUUUGUCAGUGUCUUGUGAAAAGUGCUAUACCAAUCAACUUAAUAUAUCUGAUCUACCCAGCUGUAGCUACUGGAACUCCAGUUACUACAUCAAAGUUAAUAAUUGAACAUAACCUUAUUUAUUGUAAGAUGGUUGAUCUCCAUAUUUUUGUUAAUUUAAUAUCUUUAAAUGGCUCUGCAGUUUUCCAUGUAAGGACGACUAAUUGGCACCACCUGAAGCUCCUGUUAUCUGCAUCUACUUUUUUGUAAAAGGAACAAGUCUUGCCAGUUGAGAGGCUCAAUGGGGAAGUGCUGAAAAUUGUUAAAUACUGUAAAUGUGUUCAGUUUGUGUUCUUGCUAAAAUGGUGUUUUUAUUAAUGCCAAUGCAUUUCUAAUUGUCAUAAUAAACAGACUCUGUUUUAGA